Molecule: ribosomal RNA, 602 nt
Filed under: Enterococcus sp. IsoL/T1S1-4
Lineage: Bacteria; Bacillati; Bacillota; Bacilli; Lactobacillales; Enterococcaceae
Also listed under: 1 other name
Description: bacterial LSU rRNA
Rfam family: Bacterial large subunit ribosomal RNA
Source: RNAcentral
GUAGCGGCGAGCGAAACGGGAAAAGCCCAAACCAACAAGCUUGCUUGUUGGGGUUGUAGGACUCCAAUAUGGUCGUUCUUUCAGAUAGUCGAAUGACUUGGAAAAGUCAGUCAAAGAGGGUAAAAACCCCGUAGACGAAAUGUGGAAGACACCUAGGAGGAUCCUGAGUACGGCGGAACACGAGAAAUUCCGUCGGAAUCCGGGAGGACCAUCUCCCAAGGCUAAAUACUCCCUAGUGACCGAUAGUGAACCAGUACCGUGAGGGAAAGGUGAAAAGCACCCCGGAAGGGGAGUGAAAUAGAACCUGAAACCGUGUGCCUACAACAAGUCAAAGCCCGUUAAUGGGUGAUGGCGUGCCUUUUGUAGAAUGAACCGGCGAGUUACGAUUGCAUGCGAGGUUAAGUUGAAGAGACGGAGCCGCAGCGAAAGCGAGUCUGAAUAGGGCGUUUGAGUAUGUAGUCGUAGACCCGAAACCAUGUGAUCUACCCAUGUCCAGGUUGAAGGUGCGGUAAAACGCACUGGAGGACCGAACCCACGUACGUUGAAAAGUGCGGGGAUGAGGUGUGGGUAGCGGAGAAAUUCCAAACGAACUUGGAGAUAGC